RNAcentral lists this microRNA precursor (57 nucleotides) under Gorilla gorilla gorilla (western lowland gorilla). Its description in RNAcentral is "miRNA (ENSGGOG00000040571.1)". The record is from RNAcentral. Lineage: Eukaryota; Metazoa; Chordata; Mammalia; Primates; Hominidae.
AAAGUAAUUGUGUUUUUUGCUAUUGUGUUCAGUGGCAAAAACUGCAAUUACUUUUGC